RNAcentral lists this ribosomal RNA (674 nucleotides) under Purpura bufo. RNAcentral describes it as "partial 16S ribosomal RNA". The stretch from base 1 to 511 matches the Rfam family "Bacterial large subunit ribosomal RNA", at positions 1944 to 2925 of the family's 2925-position model. The record is from RNAcentral. Lineage: Eukaryota; Metazoa; Mollusca; Gastropoda; Neogastropoda; Muricidae.
GACCGUGCAAAGGUAGCAUAAUCAUUUGCCUUAUAAUUGAAGGCUAGUAUGAAUGGUUUGACGAGAAUCGAGCUGUCUCUCUUCAAUUAAAUAUAAUUUUAUUUACAGGUGAAGAAGCCUGUUUACUAUUGAAAGACAAGAAGACCCUAUCGAGCUUUAAGGAAUUUAGUAAACUUACAACAUAUUUAUAAAAAAGUGAGAUUAUUAAAGACUUUGGUUGGGGCGACUGAGGAACAAACAAAGCUUCCUUUAACUAAGAAAAACUUACAGGUAAUGAUCCAAUAAGAUUGAUUAAAGAAAUUAGUUACCGUAGGGAUAACAGCAUAAUCUCCUUCGAGAGUUCUCAUCGAAAAGGGGGUUUGUGACCUCGAUGUUGGACCAGAAUACCCAGAAGAUGCAGCCGUCUUCAAUGGUUGGUCUGUUCGACCAUUAAAAUUCUACGUGAUCUGAGUUCAGACCGGCGUGAGCCAGGUCAGUUUCUAUCUUCAAUUUACGAUGAUUGCUUUAGUACGAAAGGACCAAGCCAUUGCAAAAUUAGUUUGUAAUAUCCAUGAUUAAAUAUAAAGAUUAGUUUAAUUUAUAGGUAUCAAAUUAGCAAAGAAUAAUGCAAUUGACUUAGGAUCAAUAGACAUAGGUGAAAUCCCUUUAUUUGAUAUAUAAAGAUGGCAGAAGAA